CCAGAUGAAUCCAUGGCUGGAUGAGUUGACAUCAAGAGCAAGAACAGGGUUGACUGUGUUAGUUGCAGCCAAGAGAGGAAGAGAUUAUGGGAGUAUGAAGAAGGGUGAUGACGAAGAUGAGUUUCCAUGGUGGGUGAGGAGUGAAGAUAGGAGGCUUCUGGGAAGUGCGGGUGGGAAGAUUAAAGCUGAUGUUGUGGUGGCUAAAGACGGAAGUGGGAAGUACAAGACGGUGAAGGAAGCGGUGAAGGGAGCGCCGGAGAAUUACAAGGGUCGGUAUGUGAUUUAUGUGAAGAAGGGAAAGUAUGAAGAGAAUGUUGAGAUUG
This 323-nucleotide long non-coding RNA is filed under the name Carica papaya (papaya). RNAcentral's name for it is "long non-coding RNA (CPAP_LNC004598)". The record is from RNAcentral. Lineage: Eukaryota; Viridiplantae; Streptophyta; Magnoliopsida; Brassicales; Caricaceae.